This 538-nucleotide long non-coding RNA is filed under the name Mytilus galloprovincialis (Mediterranean mussel). Lineage: Eukaryota; Metazoa; Mollusca; Bivalvia; Mytilida; Mytilidae. The record is from RNAcentral.
GUCUGUUGAAAUUUGUUUUUCGUGGUAUAUGUUCAAUAGAACAAGCCCAGAUAAACGAAUGGAUUUCAUUGUAUUUCUUUAGUCGUCUCAUGGUACUGAAAGAGUGUUCUAUUGCUGUCGUCCAGACUGACAUACAUGCAUAUUAUAUGUUAAGUAUUUUAAAGAUUCCCGGGUAUAAAUUCUUGUUUAUAACAUCAUAGUUUGGAAACCUUUAAAGGGGCACUAGCUGUCAAAUUCAUUGUAACCGAUUUGACUCAAAUUCUCAUAUUUGGUUUAUAACAAUGUAAAACAUUUAUCCAAACUAUCAAAAGUCUAAAAUAAACAGUUUACAGAGCAUGGGGUAGAUAAUAUAUAGAUUCGUUUCGUGUGUAUUUUAGUCCAGACGCCAUCUAAUUAACUAUCGAUUUGACCUCAGAUGACCAUAUAAGCGAUGUAAACAAAAAUAAAGAUACGAAUAGAUUAAACCAACACGUGCAAUUGCAUUUUUAUAGGUCUGUUUGAUUUGAUUUUAUAGAUUAAAAAUAGAUGUUUCUCAUUG